This 1421-nucleotide long non-coding RNA is filed under the name Coturnix japonica (Japanese quail). RNAcentral's name for it is "lncRNA (ENSCJPG00005004190.1)". Lineage: Eukaryota; Metazoa; Chordata; Aves; Galliformes; Phasianidae. The record is from RNAcentral.
GAAUGAAUUAUUAACAUCCUUCCCUACUGUUCCUGGUAAUGUAUGCAAUGCUUGAAAAGGCUUUUCUUUAAGCUAAAAGAAGCACAGAUAUUAGCGGUUAUUCAAAACAGCCUGGCAGAUGCUGUUUUAAUAUUGCUUCACCAGGGCUUGAUGGGAAUGAACUCUGGAUCUUUCUGGCUGAACAGAAGAAAGGCAAUAGUCCAGGAGUAGAAACAGCAGCUUUACAACAGCAACUAAACAGCUUGUCCCAGCAGCCAUGGGUAAUUUGUUGGAGAGGAAGAAGAGGAGGAAGACUACUGAGUUUUCAACCAGAAAGGCUUGCCUACUGCUGUCUAAACUUUUUUGGAUAACCAAGGCAGUUAACUUGUCAGCUGUUACCUGCAGAUCAUUUUGUGGCCAAAGAGAUGAUGACUGAGACCACCAGCACCUCAGCUGCAGACCUGGAUCCUCCACAAGUACUUUUAGUCUGAGGUUGGAGCUACUCUUCUUGUUUAUACACUACAGCAAGUGAUCCACGUUUAGCUUAAAGAACAGCUGAAGCCAGGGCCCCCAUGUCCACAGGUAUACCAUUUUAUUUGGGAAAAAAAAGAUAAAAAAGAAACGGAAUUCAUGACUGUCAACUGUAAUUGCAUAGGUAAUACAAAAAGAACUUCUGGAUUCCUGGAGUAAAGGCUCAAUCUGUAAUGAAUCCAAGAGCACUAUUAGAUGAAAUGCAAGAAUCCUUACCUGCUAGGCUGCUGAAGCCCAUCCAUUUGAAGGAGAUAAUUAUAAUUCCAAGCUUGUAUGGGAUAAUGCAUAUCUGCAAUCAACUCACGUACAAGGAAGAAAACUCAGACUGUACCCACCAGAAAGAUUCUCCUAUAAUUACCCAACCUUUUCUGGUGAAGCGCCUGGGAUGUGCACCAUCACACUGCAUUUUGCAAGUGGUUUAAUUUGCUCACUGUAUUUCCUGUUCUCUUCUGAGGAAUCCAGGGAGCUCCCGGGCUGGAAAUGUGCGGCAGCAAGGCAGGCAGACCUUGUUUGGGGAGCGCUGGACUGUAUGGCAGAAGGGAUGAAGUGAACUCUCUGAUCCUUUCCAAACCUGUUUCUUAGGACUGUGAUAAGUGAUUGAAAUGUGGACCUCGUGUAAUGCACACUUUAAGCACAAAUGGAAACAGUGAGUGAGGAAACAAAAAAGAUUUAUUCUACUUUUCAUACUGGAAAUGACUUAGCCUUGUAUAUUUUCUUCCUCUUUUUUUCUUCUUUUUUUUUUCCCAGCAUAGUACCUCAUUAACAAAGUUUCAAUGAAUUCAAAGCAAAGGAAAAGAGGAACAGUUUGCUCUCUUGCAGCAGUUACUAAACGUGUCCCCUAUUUACUUUUUUCCCCACAUUUCCUUUAGAUUAACAAAGAGCUGUAAAUAAACACCCUUACAAGCUAAACA